This 274-nucleotide ribosomal RNA is filed under the name uncultured bacterium. Its description in RNAcentral is "partial 16S ribosomal RNA". It matches the Rfam family "Bacterial small subunit ribosomal RNA", at positions 523 to 796 of the family's 1533-position model. The record is from RNAcentral.
CUACGGAGGGGGUUAGCGUUGUUCGGAAUUACUGGGCGUAAAGCGUACGUAGGCGGACUGGAAAGUUGGGGGUGAAAUCCCGGGGCUCAACCCCGGAACUGCCUCCAAAACCUCCAAUCUAGAGAUCGAGAGAGGUGAGUGGAAUUCCAAGUGUAGAGGUGAAAUUCGUAGAUAUUUGGAGGAACACCAGUGGCGAAGGCGGCUCACUGGCUCGAUACUGACGCUGAGGUACGAAAGCGUGGGGAGCAAACAGGAUUAGAAACCCCAGUAGUCC